Non-coding RNA from Leptonychotes weddellii (Weddell seal), 1615 nucleotides. Lineage: Eukaryota; Metazoa; Chordata; Mammalia; Carnivora; Phocidae. The record is from RefSeq and is a predicted model, not a curated record.
CUCUCGCUGUCAAAAAAUAAAUAAAAUCUUAAAAAAAAAAAAAAUUGAAUUUCAUAAAAAAAAAAAGUAGGUACUUUUGAGAGCUUGAUGGACUUUCUUAUGAGUACCUGUGUGCUCAGAUUUUUGUCAUCUACUCUGGUUGCUUUUUUGCGCACUUCUUCAUUUUUUGUUGGUUCAUGUUGUUAAGCUUUAUAAAUGAGGAAGGUAUUACUGUAUAUUAAAUAAUUUCUCAAAGCCACUGGAGAACGAGGGGACAUUUUUUUGUUUCAAAGUUAUAAUCCAUUACACAAAUUUAUAGAACAUGUGAGAAACCAGUAUCUCACCAAUUUUUAUAUGUUUUUUCAUUGGUAUCUGUAAUUGACUUUCCUAUAAUUCUUAUCUUUUCAUUUUAUUAGAUAGCAUUCGUACUUAACAGUUUUGUUGAUUGUAAAAUGUCCUGUUAAGAUAUCUCAUAAUACCACUAGCUAAGAUGUAUUAUACUCGUACCGUGGUUCUGAGCACUCUGCACAUAUAAACUUACUUAAGUCUCACAGUAACACUGAGUAUUAUCUCCAUAUUAUAAAUAAUGGUACCAAUGCAUCGAGAACAUAAGUAAUUUGCCCCGGGUUCCACACUGAAUAACUAGUAGAGCCUGGAUUCUAACCCAGGCACUCUGGCUCCAGAGCCCCAUGUGCUGCUGUUGGACAUUUAGGUUGCUUCUAAUUUUCCCUUUAAUAAAUAAUGCUGAUGCAAGUAUCAUCCUGCUUAUAAUUUUUUGCAUGUUUAGGAUUAUACCUUUGGGACAACUUUGUAGUGGAUCUUGAUGGUGGUCAUGUAAGAAGGAAGUUUUUGGUAAUAAACAGUGUCUGGUAGUAAUACAUCUUCAUUUAUCCUAGUUACUGAUGAACUGCUUGCAGUUAAUGUGGAGGGAAAUAUAUAGUAUAUUUUUCAUCUGGAUAGCUUAUCAGAAUUAAAUUACCAUGUUUCUUCUAUUCUAAAAUUCACAUAUUCCUAUUUUUUACCAUUUUUAAAAGCAGGAUGCUUUUGCAACCAGUGAGUACAUUUAAUGUGUCUGUGCCUUCCUCUUUUCUCUCUCAUCUUUCUUGUAAAAGGUUGUUUUUAAAGUCUGGAUGCACUGUUACAUUUGUGGUGCCUUAGAAUCAGUGGAGUAUAGUCGAUUAUACUAGUUUUUUAAGGUAACUGAAGAAAAAGAUUUAAUGGAACAUUUCAUUUUACAGACAUACAGUCUCCUGAUGCUGAAUAUGUAGAUUUGCUCCUUAAUCCCGAGCGCUACACGGGUUACAAGGGGCCAGAUGCUUGGAAGAUUUGGAACGUCAUCUAUGAAGAAAACUGUUUUAAGCCACAGACAAUUAAAAGACCUUUAAGUCCUUUGGCUUCUGGUCAAGGGAAAAGUGAAGACAAGAAAAAUGAGUGCCAGAGAGGAUUUGCAACUCAGCUAAAUCAUGUAUGACUUGUAAGAAGCACAGUUGGAAUUGAAAUUAGUUUGUCUCCAAGGUUCAUGCUCUCAGUUACUAUCUCAUACUGCUUCUCUGUUAACAUUGUGAUAAAUUUUUUUUAAAGAUCUUAUUUAUUUAUUUGUCAGAGAGAGAGAGCACAGGCAGGGGGGAGAAGCAGG